UACGUAGGGGGCAAGCGUUGUCCGGAUUUAUUGGGCGUAAAGCGCUCGCAGGUGGUUCAUUGCGUCGUGCGUGAAAGACCCCGGCUCAACUGGGGAGGGUCGUGCGAAACGGGUGAACUAGAGGCCAGUAGGGGGAUGCGGAAUUCCGGGUGUAGUGGUGGAAUGCGUAGAGAUCCGGAGGAACACCAGCGGCGAAGGCGGUUACCUGGAGCUUUGCUGACGCUGAUGCGCGAAAGCGUGGGGAGCGAUCCGG
RNAcentral lists this ribosomal RNA (253 nucleotides) under uncultured bacterium. RNAcentral describes it as "partial 16S ribosomal RNA". It matches the Rfam family "Bacterial small subunit ribosomal RNA", at positions 524 to 776 of the family's 1533-position model. The record is from RNAcentral.